This 234-nucleotide long non-coding RNA is filed under the name Numida meleagris (helmeted guineafowl). Its description in RNAcentral is "lncRNA (ENSNMEG00000021926.1)". The record is from RNAcentral. Lineage: Eukaryota; Metazoa; Chordata; Aves; Galliformes; Numididae.
GAAGCACCCUCUCACACUUCCUUUAAUGCAUGGCCAGGGGUGCUGGGAGGGGAAGUCAAUGACUAAUGAAAGAUGCUGCAGUGAUUAGUUUGGAGACUGAAACUCCUGAGAGAUGAAGGUUCCAUGAACUGCAAAGAUACAUUAAUCCACUUCCUGUUCCUGAUCUGGCAUUUCAGAGAUCCAGACUGUCUGCACCCAUGGAAAAGGAAGCCUUCAGUCCAAGAAGAAAGGUAA